Molecule: transfer RNA, 104 nt
Filed under: Coprinellus micaceus
Lineage: Eukaryota; Fungi; Basidiomycota; Agaricomycetes; Agaricales; Psathyrellaceae
Rfam family: tRNA
About the family: Transfer RNA (tRNA) molecules are approximately 80 nucleotides in length. Their secondary structure includes four short double-helical elements and three loops (D, anti-codon, and T loops). Further hydrogen bonds mediate the characteristic L-shaped molecular structure. tRNAs have two regions of fundamental functional importance: the anti-codon, which is responsible for specific mRNA codon recognition, and the 3' end, to which the tRNAs corresponding amino acid is attached (by aminoacyl-tRNA synthetases). tRNAs cope with the degeneracy of the genetic code in two manners: having more than one tRNA (with a specific anti-codon) for a particular amino acid; and 'wobble' base-pairing, i.e. permitting non-standard base-pairing at the 3rd anti-codon position.
Source: Rfam by way of RNAcentral
GGCGAGAUGGCCGAGCGGUCUAAGGCGCCAGACCAAGGACCAGGACAUUUGUCGUCCAUUUCAUCUGGUCCGAAAGGGCGUGGGUUCGAAUCCCACUCUCGUCA